Carassius auratus (goldfish) is the source of this 2523-nucleotide long non-coding RNA. RefSeq lists it as uncharacterized. The transcript is spliced from 3 exons. The record is from RefSeq and is a predicted model, not a curated record. NCBI's taxonomy places the organism in Eukaryota, Metazoa, Chordata, Actinopteri, Cypriniformes, Cyprinidae.
UUGAUAAAUCCUAAAACACGAAAGCAUCACAAGUGGCCAAUAUUAAACAUGAAAAAAAUCUGGCUAGACAGCAAUAGAAUGUCCAAUGUUUAUCACUUUUUAAACUUUUUUCAUUAAAUCAAUUCAAUUUGUUAGUCCUACAUUACUAAAACUAAAAAUAUAACAGUCUGAAACUAGAAGACUCUUAAAUAACUAAAUUAAAUCUAACAACAACAGAAUGAAAACAAUCUGUAACUUGUUCAGUUAUGUUAUGCAUCUAGUGUCUAUUUUCUAACAGUACUGCUUUGGUUCUCAAAUAGUAUUACUGUGCUCAAAUGAAACAAUCCUUAACUUUUUCAGUUGUAUCUUGUAUAAGACUGUAUAAACUGUCAGUGUGUACGAGUGUUUUAUUAUCUUCCUAAAUCUCUUUGACUUUUCAGAGUGGAAAUUCUCCCUCUCCAGUACGUCACAAAUGUUUGCUGCCAAAUCACCAAAGCUUUUUCCUGUUCACUCCCCACAAUUCAUCUGAACGUGCCAUCUGCUCUAGGUGUCAGUUAACAGUGAGCUCCCGAUCUCUCACAUCUUCUGAAGCCUUUUCAAGUUUAGGGAUUUCUAAAACAUCUGUUGAGGACUAAAGAGAGGAACGCAGCGUGGACAUAAACACAGCACAAUAGAAGAGGUUAAAGCUCAUUAGAGGGUUAUAAACAGUGAAUUAUUAUAAGAAUAUUUUUGGGAGUAUCAAAUUUAAAUCAGCCCAUAUACUCAAACACUGCGCUGAUCUAAAUAAACACUGCCGGGAACAAUUAGGAAAAGUUAGUGAAUGUUACAGACUUCAGGAACUUGGACUGUAAUAUCUCAUCUAUGACUGAUGCAGUGCUGGAGCCCUACACAGUUAUUUAACAAUUGCUAAAUCUACAUCCCUGGCCUACCCCAAAGUCAUUACGCCUGGCCUGUGGGCGGCGUGGAGAGAAUGAUGUCAUCAGGCACCCCUCCUUCAGGCACAUAUGUAGCGGAGCUUUAUGAGCUGUGGGGACUGGCAUAAACUGCGUCUAUGAACCUCACAAGCAGACUGAACUCUAGGCAGCGCACAAUGAAGCUCUAUUCAAGAAUGCAGCGCUGCCCCUUUAAGAACAUCCACUACUGAUGGCUCCGGGCUGCACAAGAAAUAUUCAACACCCACACACUGAUCAUUUGGCAAAGAGUCAAAAUGUACUAAGCAAUGGCAAGGAGCCCACCGCUUGAUUCUAGAGCAAACAUUUGUGCAUGUGUUCACAUGUUUUUGUUCAAAUCCACAAAGUAUAAUAGAGCUAUACAGUAUAUCCCUCGUUUACUGUAAGUCUACUUACUAGUACUUGUACAUAGUACUACUACUAUGGCUGCUUACUGUAAGUCACUAGGCGUGUAAUUUUAGUUGCCCGUUACUCAACAUGUUUGGAUGUGUGUCUGAACAACAAAGCUGAACUCUUGUAAAUGAGUUCUUGAUGUCCAAUGUCCUUGACCAGCUAUUAGUUAUACAACAUGUGAUUAUUCCUCUCAGUAACACAGUAUUCUGUGUUAUUAGGUAGGUAUUCCAUCAGAAGUCAAUGACAGGCCAAUGCACAAUAUGCUGAUGUUUUUUUUCAGCAGGAUACAGGAAGUCGGGCAUGUGAAAUGUGGUGAACUAGGAAAGCGCCACUGAUGCAUAAUAAAUGACAGGAGCUGGACUACUUUACCAUUCUGCCAUUUAUCAGUGUGUUCUCUGAUGGUUUGUCUUGUAUGCAAAAACAAGAACACAAAAGCAGAAGUUUUGCAGAACAGUUUUGAAGUAGAAGCAAAUAGUGACUAUGAUCUGUCAAGCUCCAAAAAGAAUAAAUGUCAUCUGAUGACUGAUGACAGACAGGCACCCACAACUGAGAGACAGAUAAGAGAGGACAGCGGUCUGGUGUCUAUGGAUCCAGCAGAUGGGUGACGUCUCGUGAACUCUGACCUCACACACACCAGUCACAUGUGGUCUCCUCCAAAAGCACACACUGGUGUGAAGUUUGAGAUGCCUCUGCGAUGAGAGCUACUUCAUUCAACAGCACUGUUAAUACUCUUUCACACACUGUAGGCUUAAAACAAGACAUAACUGAAUGUGUGAUGAAGGUUUAUACUUAUAUUUGCCACCAUACUUUAUCUUAGUCAAGCUUGUUAUUUCGAAACAGUCAGCUACUGUACAUGAAUGCAACAGUAUGACAAUUCUAGCACUUUCUUUAAAUCUAUUUUUAGCUCUAAAAAUUUAAAGUAUGUUGUUUAUGGACUCACGAUAAGACUAAAUGUUUACCACAUAUGCUGUGGAUAUGAAAUAAAGACACAAUGAUAUUCUCAAGUGUGUGAAUCAACAGGAGAGAUAUUUUUGUUCAGCGAGUGGGAGCGUCUGCAUGAUAACGGUUCAUGUUAAUAAUGCACCGCGGUAUUUUGUUCAUCAAACGAUUAAGGCAAAUUAAGAACUGAUGGAGAACCUCUGAGCGUUUUACAACCAUGUUAUGAAAUGAAAUGUAAAGUUAAAGUCACAUUCAUGUUAAU